GCCUAGAAAGCAAAGAUUAUUAUUUAUUUUUAAUAUAAUAGAAAUGCAUAAUCGUAUUUAAAAAAGUUUAGAGGAAAGUACAAAGUACAAAAUUCAAUGGAAUACCUUGGAAAAUAUUAUCUACAAGUCGUUUAACUGCUGUGUUAUAAAAAUCCUCCUGUCCAACAUAAGAAGGAAAUACAUAAUUCUCACUUUCUACUAAUGGACGGAUACGUAAAGCAACGCGAACGGUAUCGUCGCACAUCUGCAAUAAAACAUUAAAUAUAUAGUUGAUGAUAUUUGGUAAUUUUGCAAACAUGAUAUAAUCAUGGUGUUCUAACCUUAUUCCUAUCAUCAUUAUUUGAUAUUUAAACUUUUACCUCAAUAUAGGCAAUAUCAAAAACUCAUAGAAGAUACUAUAAGUCUUAUAUGAUAAACACUAGUUGUCUCUAUCCAUAAUGGCAUAAUAGUCAUAAUAUAAAUAAAUAAAAACGUGUAUACACACAUAUA
This is a long non-coding RNA of Solenopsis invicta (red fire ant), 489 nucleotides long. RefSeq lists it as uncharacterized. NCBI's taxonomy places the organism in Eukaryota, Metazoa, Arthropoda, Insecta, Hymenoptera, Formicidae. The record is from RefSeq and is a predicted model, not a curated record. The transcript is spliced from 2 exons.